UACGUAGGUGGCAAGCGUUGUCCGGAAUUAUUGGGCGUAAAGCGCGCGCAGGCGGUCCUUUAAGUCUGAUGUGAAAGCCCACGGCUCAACCGUGGAGGGUCAUUGGAAACUGGGGGACUUGAGUACAGAAGAGGAAAGCGGAAUUCCACGUGUAGCGGUGAAAUGCGUAGAGAAUCCGGAAGAACACCGGUGGCGAAGGCGGUCUGCUGGGGUCGAACUGACGCUGAGGCGCGACAGCGUGGGGAGCAAACAGG
RNAcentral lists this ribosomal RNA (254 nucleotides) under uncultured bacterium. Its description in RNAcentral is "partial 16S ribosomal RNA". It matches the Rfam family "Bacterial small subunit ribosomal RNA", at positions 524 to 776 of the family's 1533-position model. The record is from RNAcentral.